GGUGGCUGUGCCCGGCCCGAAGGCGUGCUUUCGCGGAGCGAAAGCCGACAUUUGAUUGUGCCGCGGAGGAGCGAUGCUGGUAAGCCAUCCCCCAGCAGCCCCGCUGCUAACAUGGUUGCGCCGCUAUCUCGUGCGGCGUCUUUCUGAAAGUUCGCGCCGAGCAUUACAGCAGCCGGGCCGCUCUUGGGCGGCGCUCCCGCGCCGCCGCGAUUGCUGGCGAAGCGCCGGGACGAUCCAUAUAAUUUCGCCCUCGCAGGGGGCGAUCUCUUCAGUGCAGGCCGCGCGGAUCUUCCUCGAUUCACCGCAUCUCCCCGGACGGCAUGGCGAAGGUCCAAUUCAAUCGACCGGCGGGCCUCAAGCCGCGGACCGGCACACGCGACGAGGCUGUGCCGGUCGAUCUGCUGGAGCGCCUCUCGCUGUUCCAGGAAUUGCAGAGCGGCAAGAGCAAGGCCCCCAGCCUGA
This 462-nucleotide unclassified non-coding RNA is filed under the name uncultured fungus. RNAcentral's name for it is "sequence contains 18S rRNA gene, ITS1, 5.8S rRNA gene, ITS2, 28S rRNA gene". The record is from RNAcentral. Lineage: Eukaryota; Fungi.